Molecule: ribosomal RNA, 1503 nt
Filed under: uncultured bacterium
Lineage: Bacteria
Description: bacterial SSU rRNA
Rfam family: Bacterial small subunit ribosomal RNA
Source: RNAcentral
GAUGAACGCUGGCGGCGUGCCUAAUACAUGCAAGUCGAGCGAACAGACGAGGAGCUUGCUCCUCUGAAGUUAGCGGCGGACGGGUGAGUAACACGUGGAUAACCUACCUAUAAGACUGGGAUAACUUCGGGAAACCGGAGCUAAUACCGGAUAACAUGUUGAACCGCAUGGUUCAACAGUGAAAGAUGGUCUUGCUGUCACUUAUAGAUGGAUCCGCGCCGCAUUAGCUAGUUGGUAAGGUAACGGCUUACCAAGGCAACGAUGCGUAGCCGACCUGAGAGGGUGAUCGGCCACACUGGAACUGAGACACGGUCCAGACUCCUACGGGAGGCAGCAGUAGGGAAUCUUCCGCAAUGGGCAAAAGCCUGACGGAGCAACGCCGCGUGAGUGAAGAAGGUCUUCGGAUCGUAAAACUCUGUUAUUAGGGAAGAACAAAUGUGUAAGUAACUAUGCACGUCUUGACGGUACCUAAUCAGAAAGCCACGGCUAACUACGUGCCAGCAGCCGCGGUAAUACGUAGGUGGCAAGCGUUAUCCGGAAUUAUUGGGCGUAAAGCGCGCGUAGGCGGUUUUUUAAGUCUGAUGUGAAAGCCCACGGCUCAACCGGGGAGGGUCAUUGGAAACUGGAGAACUUGAGUGCAGAAGAGGAAAGUGGAAUUCCAUGUGUAGCGGUGAAAUGCGCAGAGAUAUGGAGGAACACCAGUGGCGAAGGCGACUUUCUGGUCUGUAACUGACGCUGAUGUGCGAAAGCGUGGGGAUCGAACAGGAUUAGAUACCCUGGUAGUCCACGCCGUAAACGAUGAGUGCUAAGUGUUAGGGGGUUUCCGCCCCUUAGUGCUGCAGCUAACGCAUUAAGCACUCCGCCUGGGGAGUACGACCGCAAGGUUGAAACUCAAAGGAAUUGACGGGGACCCGCACAAGCGGUGGAGCAUGUGGUUUAAUUCGAAGCAACGCGAAGAACCUUACCAAAUCUUGACAUCCUCUGACCCCUCUAGAGAUAGAGUUUUCCCCUUCGGGGGACAGAGUGACAGGUGGUGCAUGGUUGUCGUCAGCUCAUGUCGUGAGAUGUUGGGUUAAGUCCCGCAACGAGCGCAACCCUUAAGCUUAGUUGCCAUCAUUAAGUUGGGCACUCUAAGUUGACUGCCGGUGACAAACCGGAGGAAGGUGGGGAUGACGUCAAAUCAUCAUGCCCCUUAUGAUUUGGGCUACACACGUGCUACAAUGGACAAUACAAAGGGUAGCGAAACCGCGAGGUCAAGCAAAUCCCAUAAAGUUGUACUCAGUUCGGAUUGUAGUCUGCAACUCGACUACAUAAAGCUGGAAUCGCUAGUAAUCGUAGAUCAGCAUGCUACGGUGAAUACGUUCCCGGGUCUUGUACACACCGCCCGUCACACCACGAGAGUUUGUAACACCCGAAGCCGGUGGAGUAACCUUUUGGAGCUAGCCGUCGAAGGUGGGACAAAUGAUUGGGGUGAAGUCGUAACGAGGUAGCCGUAUCGGAAGG